AUAUAGGAAGACAAGAUUAGGAGAACGGUCUGGAAAGGCCGGCCAUAGAACAUGACAGCUGUGUAUCCGAAAAUCUUCGUUGGACUUAGAGGUAUCCUGAGUAGCGCGGGACACGUGAAAUCCUGUGUGAAUCUGCGGGGCCCAUCCCGUAAGGCUAAAUACUCCCGAGAGACCGAUAGUGAACCAGUACCGUGAGGGAAAGGUGAAAAGAACCUCGAACAGAGGAGUGCAAUAGAUCCUGAACCCGUCUGCCUACAAGCGGUAGGAGCAGCUUCGUGCUGUGACUGCGUGCCUUUUGCAUAAUGAACCUACGAGUUACUUUCUCUGGCAAGGUUAAGUGAUGAAGAGUCACGUGAGCCGAAGCGAAAGCGAGUCUGAAUAGGGCGAUUUAGUCAGAGGGAGUAGACGCGAAACCAAGUGAUCUACCCUUGGUCNNNNNNNNNNCUAAUCAAACUUGGAGAUAGCUCGUACUCCCCGAAAUGCAUUUAGGUGCAGCCUGUGGAGUUUCUUACGUGAGGUAGAGCGACUGAUUGGAUGCGAGGCUUUCACCGGCUAUCAAGUCCAGACAAACUCCGAAUGCACGUUAAGUAAGAUCCACGGAGUGAGGGCAUGGGUGCUAAGGUCCAUGUCCGAGAGGAGAAGAAUCCAGACCAUCGGCUAAGGUCCCGAAAUAAUAGCUAAGUUGACCAAACGAAGUCAGAGUGCGAAG
This 709-nucleotide ribosomal RNA is filed under the name Rothia mucilaginosa. RNAcentral's name for it is "partial 23S ribosomal RNA". It matches the Rfam family "Bacterial large subunit ribosomal RNA", at positions 313 to 1088 of the family's 2925-position model. Lineage: Bacteria; Bacillati; Actinomycetota; Actinomycetes; Micrococcales; Micrococcaceae. The record is from RNAcentral.